RNAcentral lists this non-coding RNA (147 nucleotides) under bovine gut metagenome. The record is from RNAcentral.
GUGUCGAAAGACCUAACAGAGAAGCCGGAGGAGCCGGCGCGGUCCCGCCACUGUAAAGGGAGCAAUGCUGCAUAAGUGAUGUCACUGGGGAAACCUGGGAAGGCGCAGCAAAGCCAUGAACUUAAGCCAGGAGAACUGCCUGUUCGA